AAUAAUUUUAGAGACAAAAUCCUUUCUAUUUAAAUCAAUUUUACAAUUUAGAAUGAAUUCGAGAGGCUCCAAACUAGAACCAAACUAAAUCAGACUUUCAAAAUCGCGUUCUGUUAAUUCCAUCUAAUUCCUCGCAACAUUGUUGCUAGCUUUUCUCACAAUCGCUUAGUGAACGCGCUUUCCUUGCGUCGAGAACAAUCCUCAAACAACGCACAAUUCAAAACCACUUAGGUUAUAGUCACUCAUGGAUGAUGAACAUGAACCAUUUUCAGCACUUCCAUGGCUUUGGGUAACUGAAGCCCUAGCAGGUUUCAAAGAAAUCCCCUUAUCCACUUUACAAGGUUUGAUUAAUGAAGCACCUGUAAGGCGUGAUGAUUUUUGUGAAAAUACAAAGCAAUUGGUUGCUUUGAAGUGUUUGGAGGAACUUUAUGCUUCGUUUUCUUCUUCAACAUUGGAUUCUACAGUUGAAAUUGAUUCUUCGCGAACUUGUGAAGAUGUUCUUCAAGAAAUAUUGCGUGGGGUGCCUUCAUCAAAUCUGAAAAUUGCUGGAGCAGAGCUAUUGAAAUGGGAUGUUAACCCAUUUAUCACACACAAAAGAGCUGACAAUGUGAAAUGUCACUUAGAGAAGCUGAAAGAAUCAAUAUUGGAAGGUACACUGCCACUUACUGAUCACUUAAAAGAGAGGAGUGGAUUAUUCCAAACGAAUCGGCCUCAUACAGUAUGUGUGAAUGAUGGUAAAAGCAAUAAUCAUUCAGUGAAGGAUGUUGGGAACUCCACUUAUGCAGAAGACAUGGGAGCAAAAGAAAACUCAGUGUCCUUAAUAUUAGAGGAUGGCAACAAAUCUUCGAAAGAAGAUUUACCUAAUAAAAAACGUUUGUCCUCUAAGAGGAAUAGGGUUUACUCGGCUGAUGAGCAUUUAACAAGUUGCUUUAAUGAAAAGCAGGCUUGUAUAAAUGAACGUGAUGAACUCUUAAGUAAAAAAAGGAUUAAACGUAGUGCAUUGACAAAUUUUGAUUCCAAGAAAGAAAAGCAAGUUUCUCGUCUUGAAAAGGAAGUGUCAGAAAACUCGACUGAAAAUGUUCUAAUUUCUGAGAAUGUAGGGCAUCAAACCAAAAAGAAAAACAGGAAAGCUCUGAGUGAUGGAUCCUUAGAGGCUAGUCAUAAUAGGUGCUUUGCUUCAAAUUUGUGUCUGUCAAGUGGUCAAAAUGAAGCCUUUCAUGCUGAAUCAGAUAUUGCCUUUAAGGCAACUUUGACGCCUCAGCAGAAAACUUCUGGAGGUAAACCCCUGUCUGAACAUGAACCAGAUUUGCAACUUAAAGAUUUAAAUUGUUCCCAGCAGACUGCUAGUAGUGUUAAAGCUCAAGAUGAUACUGAUAAUGGCUGUGGGAUAGAGAUACCAGGUGAUACAGUUGCGUACCAAGGUGAAAAGAUUAAUCUCGUAAUGAAAAAGCACAAAAAGAGAAGUCUUGAUACAAAGUGUAGCGAAGGUGGUCAAUUACUGGUCUGUGAAGCGGUUACUGGCCCAUUAUUGGUUCCUGAAAGUUGUAUUGGUAUGACGACCAACAUUUAUCCUCAGCAUACAUCUGGAGUUGAUCCUUGCCAUAAAUUUAUAGAUGAAACUAAUGAUACUGUAGAUGUUGAACCCAUUCGAACAUAUGAUGGUAAUGCAAAUAAAAUUCAGCAUAUGACUAAUCAAUCUCAAACCCAGCAGCAGGAGCCAAAUGUUGCAUCUUCAAAUGCCUCUCGGAAGCCAGUUGCUAGUGACAAAGCUGUAGUUGAUACUGUCAAUGAUUGUGGAGCAGAGUUAUCAAAUGAUAGUGAUGAGCAUCACAACGAAAAGAUUGAUCUUGGAGCCAAAAAAGAUGAAUUCGUGAACUCCCAGCACACUUUUGGUCAAGAUUUGCCAGCAAUGACUGAAUCGACCAGACAAAAUCUUUGCAUGAAGUGCAAUAAAACUGGACAAUUAUUGGUUUGUAAAACUACCACUUGUUCUUUGACGGUGCAUAAAAACUGCCUGGGUGCAUCUGCUCAGUUGGAUGCUAAGGGAAACUUUUUCUGCCCAUUUUGUGCUUAUUCUAACACUAUUUCAGAAUAUCUUGAAGCCAAGAAAAUAGCUUCAUUGGCAAGGAAAGAAUUAGCUAUCUUCAUUACUAAGGGUAUAAGAAAAGAAGCUGUAGAACGUGUUCAUAAAUCAGGUAGACAAGAAUGUACAUUUUCAAGGAAGAGUUAUAAGUGCGAGCAUACUCCGUUAACAGUGAAUGAAGAAAAUAGAGAAGAUCAUGCUGGUGAGCAUGCAAAUAAAGUUGGUAAUUUUCCUUUUGAAAGAAGUCAGCAACAAGUUCCUAUUUUAGCAGUUCACUCGUCAUCCUUCAGAGAAAAGGAAAAUGUAAAAAAUGGGUUAGCAGGUGAUGUAAGAGAAGAGGAUGACUGUGAAAUGCUGAAUGCAAAGAGCUUAACUGAUGAAAGAGUUGAAGACAGAGAAAUGGAAACUGAUCAUGUAGGUGGACAUGGCAAUGAAAAGAUUUCUUGUAAGAAGCUAAAGAUUGUGUGUGCUAAUGAAAGUAAUGAAGAAGUUCUACAGAAUAUGGCAGAGCACAGUAUGGAUGGAACAGUAGAGCCAGUUUGGGCUCACAAUACUGUAAAGGAUGAACUUUCUAAAGAUGAAUCCAAGAAGCGUAUUAUUUCUAGAUACUCCAUGAGAUUUCGUAUGCAUGAAGUUCAGAACAAAAUCAAAGAAAGCCCUCAGAUAAGACGGAAAAAAAUCCCAUGGACAGUUGAGGAGGAAGAGCUGAUACAGGAAGGGGUCCAGAAGUUUGGCUCCCGCGACUCAAAACUACCAUGGAAGAAAAUUUUGGCAUUCGGUUCUCACUUGUUUGAGAAGAAUGACAGACUUCGUACUCCACAAGAUUUAAAGGAUAAAUGGAAAAACAUGUGCAAAGCACACUCAAAAUUGAAAUAAAAAUCUUUAUUGGAAGGCGAUUUCAUAUUAUUCAGGCAAGUCGGACUGCCUCAGUUCCCCGUUAUAUUCUUAUUGGUUGCAAAGAGGUUGAGAGUUACAAAAAUUUGGCUAGUGGUUCAGCUUGAUCCAUAUACUAACAUUGCAACUGAUAAAAGAGAAUCGUGGAAGUGAUGUUAACAUGCCAUAUUUAUAAAAAGUUAAAUAGCUUGACCAUUUGAUUGGUGUAAAUAUUCAUAGAACUGGACCUUUUUGUAAAGGUAUCAGAGAAUAGUGGAAUCUCGAUCAAAUCUAUUUUCGGUUUGUUUUA
Molecule: RNA transcript, 3266 nt
Organism: Vicia villosa (hairy vetch)
Lineage: Eukaryota; Viridiplantae; Streptophyta; Magnoliopsida; Fabales; Fabaceae
Exons: 7
Source: RefSeq, a predicted model, not a curated record